GAGAGAGGCCCAGCGGCAACGAGAACUGCUAAUUCCCGUCACCCCGGUUAAAACCCGAGGCUCACUCG
This 68-nucleotide transfer RNA is filed under the name Rondeletia loricata (redmouth whalefish). RNAcentral describes it as "tRNA-Ser (AGY)". Lineage: Eukaryota; Metazoa; Chordata; Actinopteri; Beryciformes; Rondeletiidae. The record is from RNAcentral.